This 1380-nucleotide long non-coding RNA is filed under the name Olea europaea (common olive). Its description in RNAcentral is "long non-coding RNA (OEUR_LNC013007)". Lineage: Eukaryota; Viridiplantae; Streptophyta; Magnoliopsida; Lamiales; Oleaceae. The record is from RNAcentral.
AAAAAAAAUCAAUAAUAAGUAUAAAACUAAAUUUAAACUAUAUAAAUGAAGGAUUUUAAAGAAUUUAAUGACGAAUCGAUGUAUCCGAAACGUAUUGUGUCGAACACACGUGUCCGUGUCGAUACAUCAUACUGUUCUAAAAAACACUACUAAAAACCACCCGAAACCGGACCCCUGAUACACGCCAAAACGGGUACUUUAAGAAACCCCAUAACCGGUAAUCAAAACUCCCAAGCAGACCCCAACAGAAUGAGAGGCGGAACACACUAGCCCCCGUUUGAUUUAGCCAAAAAAGUUGAUAAAAAUCUAACUCAAAGUCAACAAUUAAAUUUAACGGGACCAACAACUUUAUCAACUUCUCAAUUACACAUUUCAUCAACUUUUACUAAAAUAUACUAAAGAUUAGAUUUUUAGCUAAAUCAAACAGUGGCAGAACUUGUAGAGGAAAAAAAAAAAUUAAAUUAUUAGGCAAAUAGCCAAUGCACAUACAAAUACUGAUUAUUUGCAUAAAAUGGCACAAAGACAAGAAAGAUUAAGUCAAAUCAGCCAGUCAAUCCUGAAAAAUCCCAAAACUCCUGAAAAAUUUCAACCGUAUUAAUAGAAAACGAAAUAAUUGGGGUUCAAGGGUAUAAAAAGAACACAACGCAAAAUCAAAAAUAUAAAGAUCAUUAUCGAAAUGCACAAUAACCGAAAAGUACAAAUCUCAGAGAAUUUUUUUUUUUUUUUCAGAAUUCAAAAGUACGCACUAAAAUGACUGAAUUCACCAAAAUCAAAAUCACACGGCGAAAAGACUAGUUGUUUUUUUUUUUUUAAUUUAAAUACCUUCUAAAUUGUAACCCUGAUUCUCAUUUAUAUAUCGAACUGAAAUAGCACACAGAAACCAAUUAAUUAUCUUGAAAAAGCUAAAAGAUACAGAUAUACAUAUAAAAAUUUACCUUGAACAAGACAGAAGAUUCGUUGGAAGAUCAAAUUUGAUAGCUUUUGAUUUGAAUUCUAGAUAGUCAUAUAUUACCUGUCAAAAGAAAUUUUCAAAGUAGACGCGGUUAAGAAAGCCCUGGACAGAGAAAACAAAAAAGAUAUACAGUGUGUAUAUGUUAUAGAGAGAGAGAGGAGAGAGAGAGAGAGAGAUUUUGCUGGCAGAAGCUGCAAUGGAGACAGGAAUAGCCUGCUAAUCGACUAGACUGAAAUAACGGAGAAGUUCGUCGACAAUACAACAAAAUGUAGGAAUCGGGGAGAAGAAGCCAGAUAGGGACGACGUCGUAUAUGUUUUGGGGUUAGGAAAGAUCCUAGUCCUAUAAAGGGAAUUGCGGAUCUUAAUCAAUGGGUGGAUUUGGAAUCACUUUCACUUGUAGGAUGUUUAAUGGCAAGCAUGAAACUUAC